CCAAAGGCUCUUUUCAGAGCCACCCACAGCUUCAGGAAAAGAGCUG
Molecule: regulatory RNA element, 46 nt
Organism: Leptosomus discolor (cuckoo roller)
Lineage: Eukaryota; Metazoa; Chordata; Aves; Leptosomiformes; Leptosomidae
Rfam family: Histone 3' UTR stem-loop
About the family: The mRNAs of metazoan histone genes lack a poly-A tail. 3' end processing occurs at a site between a highly conserved stem-loop (modelled by this family) and a purine rich region around 20 nts downstream (the histone downstream element, or HDE). The stem-loop is bound by a 31 kDa stem-loop binding protein (SLBP - also termed the histone hairpin binding protein, or HBP).
Source: Rfam